GGGGGUAUAGCUCAGUGGUAGAGAAUUCGACUGCCGAUCCAGAGGUCCGUUGUUCAAAUCCGUGUGCCCCUU
This is a non-coding RNA of Angiostrongylus cantonensis (rat lungworm), 72 nucleotides long. NCBI's taxonomy places the organism in Eukaryota, Metazoa, Nematoda, Chromadorea, Rhabditida, Metastrongylidae. The record is from Rfam.